GGAGCCGUGUCAGAGUGGUCUAACGUACCUCUUUGCUAAAGAGGCAGNNAAAACCCCUCGGCGGUUCGAAUCCGCCCGGCUCCGCCU
This 87-nucleotide transfer RNA is filed under the name Candidatus Nomurabacteria bacterium. RNAcentral's name for it is "tRNA-Ser". It matches the Rfam family "tRNA". From Rfam's summary of the family: Transfer RNA (tRNA) molecules are approximately 80 nucleotides in length. Their secondary structure includes four short double-helical elements and three loops (D, anti-codon, and T loops). The record is from RNAcentral. Lineage: Bacteria; Candidatus Nomuraibacteriota.